ACUCAAAUGAAUAGACGGGGGCCCGCACAAGCAGCGGAGCGUGUGGUUUAAUUCGACGCAACGCGCAGAACCUUACCCAGAUUGGACAUGGCACUGCAAGCCGGUGAAAGCCGGUCGCCUGCGAGGGUGUGCCACCGGUGCUGCAUGGCUGUCGUCAGCUCGUGUCGUGAGAUGUUGGGUUAAGUCCCGCAACGAGCGCAACCCCCGCGGCCAGUUAUCGGUGUCUGGCCGGACCGCCCCUCGGGGAGGAAGGCGGGGAUGACGUCAAGUCCGCAUGGCCCGUACGUCUGGGGCGACACACACGCUACAAUGACCACCCUAAUGCGCACGCCACCGGGUAACCGGGCGCCAAUCGCCAAUGGUGGUCUCAGUGCAGAUCGGGGGCUGCAACUCGCCCCCGUGAAGGCGGAGUUGCUAGUAACCGCGUAUCAGCCAUGGCGCGGUGAAUGCGUACCCGGGCCUUGUACACACCGCCCGU
This 478-nucleotide ribosomal RNA is filed under the name uncultured bacterium. RNAcentral describes it as "partial 16S ribosomal RNA". It matches the Rfam family "Bacterial small subunit ribosomal RNA", at positions 899 to 1397 of the family's 1533-position model. The record is from RNAcentral.